GAUUCGUCACACUAUCAUUAACUGAAUCCAUAGGUUAAUGAGGCGAACCGGGGGAACUGAAACAUCUAAGUACCCCGAGGAAAAGAAAUCAACCGAGAUUCCCCCAGUAGCGGCGAGCGAACGGGGAGGAGCCCAGAGCCUGAAUCAGCAUGUGUGUUAGUGGAAGCGUCUGGAAAGGCGCGCGAUACAGGGUGACAGCCCCGUACACAAAAGCGCAUGUGCUGUGAGCUCGAUGAGUAGGGCGGGACACGUGGUAUCCUGUCUGAAUAUGGGGGGACCAUCCUCCAAGGCUAAAUACUCCUGACUGACCGAUAGUGAACCAGUACCGUGAGGGAAAGGCGAAAAGAACCCCGGCGAGGGGAGUGAAAAAGAACCUGAAACCGUGUACGUACAAGCAGUGGGAGCCCCACCACUAAGCCAGUGGUGAACUCCACAUCCGCAUCCUUUGCUGAGGAUACGGUUAACGGAGCGAAAGCGACGUUCAACCGCAAAACAAGCAGAGGGGGCUUAGUGGUGGGGUGACUGCGUACCUUUUGUAUAAUGGGUCAGCGACUUAUAUUCUGUAGCAAGGUUAACCGUAUAGGGGAGCCGGAGGGAAACCGAGUCUUAAUUGGGCGUUAAGUUGCAGGGUAUAGACCCGAAACCCGGUGAUCUAGCCAUGGGCAGGUUGAAGGUUGGGUAACACUAACUGGAGGACCGAACCGACUAAUGUUGAAAAAUUAGCGGAUGACCUGUGGCUGGGGGUGAAAGGCCAAUCAAACCGGGAGAUAGCUGGUUCUCCCCGAAAGCUAUUUAGGUAGCGCCUCGUGAAUUCAUCUCCGGGGGUAGAGCACUGUUUCGGCUAGGGGGCCAUCCCGGCUUACCAACCCGAUGCAAACUGCGAAUACCGGAGAAUGUUAUCACGGGAGACACACGGCGGGUGCUAACGUCCGUCGUGAAGAGGGAAACAACCCAGACCGCCAGCUAAGGUCCCAAAGUCAUGGUUAAGUGGGAAACGAUGUGGGAAGGCCCAGACAGCCAGGAUGUUGGCUUAGAAGCAGCCAUCAUUUAAAGAAAGCGUAAUAGCUCACUGGUCGAGUCGGCCUGCGCGGAAGAUGUAACGGGGCUAAACCAUGCACCGAAGCUGCGGCAGCGAACGUAUCACCCAAGACAACUUUACGGAGUUGACGAUUGACGGAGCGAAGCGACGUCAAAGCGUUCAUUAAAGUCGAGUUGGCUUAGGGAUACGUUCGUUGGGUAGGGGAGCGUUCUGUAAGCCUGUGAAGGUGUGUCGUGAGGCAUGCUGGAGGUAUCAGAAGUGCGAAUGCUGACAUAAGUAACGAUAAAGCGGGUGAAAAGCCCGCUCGCCGGAAGACCAAGGGUUCCUGUCCAACGUUAAUCGGGGCAGGGUGAGUCGACCCCUAAGGCGAGGCCGAAAGGCGUAGUCGAUGGGAAACGGGUUAAUAUUCCCGUACUUGGUGUUACUGCGAAGGGGGGACGGAGAAGGCUAUGUUGGCCGGGCGACGGUUGUCCCGGUUUAAGCGUGUAGGUGUGUGUUCCAGGUAAAUCCGGUUCACUUUAACACUGAGGCGUGACGACGAGGCACUACGGUGCUGAAGCAACAAAUGCCCUGCUUCCAGGAAAA
RNAcentral lists this ribosomal RNA (1624 nucleotides) under Salmonella enterica subsp. enterica serovar Typhimurium. RNAcentral's name for it is "partial 23S ribosomal RNA". It matches the Rfam family "Bacterial large subunit ribosomal RNA", at positions 137 to 1616 of the family's 2925-position model. Lineage: Bacteria; Pseudomonadati; Pseudomonadota; Gammaproteobacteria; Enterobacterales; Enterobacteriaceae. The record is from RNAcentral.